This 301-nucleotide ribosomal RNA is filed under the name uncultured bacterium. RNAcentral's name for it is "partial 16S ribosomal RNA". It matches the Rfam family "Bacterial small subunit ribosomal RNA", at positions 509 to 807 of the family's 1533-position model. The record is from RNAcentral.
CAGUAGCCGCGGUAACACGGAGGGGGCUAGCGUUGUUCGGAAUUACUGGGCGUAAAGCGUGCGUAGGCGGUUCGUUAAGUCUGUUGUGAAAGCCCCGGGCUCAACCUGGGAAUGGCAAUGGAUACUGGCGAGCUAGAGUGUGUCAGAGGAUGGUGGAAUUCCCGGUGUAGCGGUGAAAUGCGUAGAGAUCGGGAGGAACAUCAGUGGCGAAGGCGGCCAUCUGGGACAACACUGACGCUGAGGCACGAAAGCGUGGGGAGCAAACAGGAUUAGAUACCCCCGUAGUCCCUGUCUCUUAUAC